AGCGAACGCUGGCGGCAGGCCUAAUACAUGCAAGUCGAACGGCUCUUCGGAGCAGUGGCGGACGGGUGAGUAACGCGUGGGAAUGUGCCCUUAGGUACGGAACAACACAGGGAAACUUGUGCUAAUACCGUAUGUGCCCUUCGGGGGAAAGAUUUAUCGCCUUUGGAGCAGCCCGCGUUGGAUUAGGUAGUUGUUGCGGUAAAGGCUCACCAAGCCGACGAUCCAUAGCUGGUCUGAGAGGAUGACCAGCAACACUGGGCCUGAGACCCGGCCCAGACUCCUACGGGAGGCAGCAGUAGGGAAUCUUGCGCAAUGGGCGAAAGCCUGACGGAGCCAUGCCGCGUGUAUGAUGAAGGUCGUAGGAUUGUAAAAUACUUUCACCGGGGAAGAUAAUGACGGUACCCGGAGAAGAAGCCCCGGCUAACUUCGUGCCAGCCGCCGCGGUAA
RNAcentral lists this ribosomal RNA (447 nucleotides) under uncultured bacterium. RNAcentral describes it as "partial 16S ribosomal RNA". It matches the Rfam family "Bacterial small subunit ribosomal RNA", at positions 29 to 523 of the family's 1533-position model. The record is from RNAcentral.